AUGUAAAGAAUCAUCAAGCUCUGCUUGGCAUUGGGGGUCUCGCCCGCUCGCGCGGCGCCCCCUAAAUCGGUCGGCGGCGGCGAUUAGCCUCAAGCGUAGUAAAACAUUCCGCUUUUCGAGCGCCAUUCGACGCCCGCUUCCAGAAAACCAUACACCUAAACAUUGACCUCGGAUCAGGUAGGGAUACCCGCUGAACUUAA
RNAcentral lists this unclassified non-coding RNA (200 nucleotides) under soil metagenome. RNAcentral describes it as "partial contains internal transcribed spacer 2 and large subunit ribosomal RNA". The record is from RNAcentral.